GUGAGGAAUAUUGGUCAAUGGGCGGGAGCCUGAACCAGCCAAGUCGCGUGAAGGAAGAAGGAUCUAUGGUUCGUAAACUUCUUUUGCAGGAGGGUAAAGUGAGCUACGUGUAGUUCAUUGCAAGUACCCUGCGAAUAAGCAUCGGCUAACUCCGUGCCAGCAGCCGCGGUAAUACGGAGGAUGCGAGCGUUAUCCGGAUUUAUUGGGUUUAAAGGGUGCGUAGGCGGACUAAUUAGUCAGCGGUGAAAUUUUGCGGCUCAACCGUAAAACUGCCGUUGAAACUGUUAGUCUUGAGUGCGGUAGAGGUAGGCGGAAUGUGUGGUGUAGCGGUGAAAUGCUUAGAUAUCACACAGAACACCGAUUGCGUAGGCAGCUUACUGGAGCGCAACUGACGCUGAGGCACGAAAGCGUGGGGAUCGAACAGGAUUAGAUACCCCAGUAGUCC
RNAcentral lists this ribosomal RNA (445 nucleotides) under uncultured bacterium. Its description in RNAcentral is "partial 16S ribosomal RNA". It matches the Rfam family "Bacterial small subunit ribosomal RNA", at positions 354 to 796 of the family's 1533-position model. The record is from RNAcentral.